CAACAGCUCAAAUGUGAAAUCUGGCCUCGUCGGGGCCCGAGUUGUAAUUUGUAGAGGGUGUUUCGGGCGCGAUGCCGGUCUAAGUUCCUUGGAACAGGACGUCGUAGAGGGUGAGAAUCCCGUAUGCGACCGGCGAUCAAGCCCGUGCGAAGCCCCUUCGACGAGUCGAGUUGUUUGGGAAUGCAGCUCAAAAUGGGUGGUAAAUUUCAUCUAAAGCUAAAUACCGGCCAGAGACCGAUAGCGGACAAGUAGAGUGAUCGAAAGAUGAAAAGCACUUUGGAAAGAGAGUCAAACAGUACGUGAAAUUGUUGAAAGGGAAGCGCUUGCAAUCAGACCGGUCCGGAGGCGAUCAGCCGCUGCUCGUCAGCGGUGCACUCGCCUGCGAUCCGGCCAGCAUCGGUUUGGGCGGCGGGACAAAAGUCCCGGGAAUGUAGCUUCUCUCGGGGAGUCUUAUAGCCCGGGUCGCAAUGCCGCCCGCCCGGACCGAGGACCGCGCUUCGGCUAGGAUGCUGGCGUAAUGGUUGCAAGCG
RNAcentral lists this ribosomal RNA (530 nucleotides) under Sticta aff. tomentosa. RNAcentral's name for it is "eukaryotic LSU rRNA". It matches the Rfam family "Eukaryotic large subunit ribosomal RNA", at positions 102 to 646 of the family's 3401-position model. Lineage: Eukaryota; Fungi; Ascomycota; Lecanoromycetes; Peltigerales; Lobariaceae. The record is from RNAcentral.